AGCUGUCCCUGCCCCUCAUCAUCUGCAGAAUUCAGGAGAGCGGGCCCUGAACCUUGCCUGGGCAGCACAGAAACGCUGACCCUGGUGGUAUGGACGUAGCCGAGCAUGACUGAGGAUGUGAGAGCAGGAGAGCUGCCCCUGCCCCGCCAGCUGCAGCACUGGGUGAACUAGCUGAGGCAGUGUUGGAAGGCUCACCCAGGUGGCGUGGGCACAGGAGAGCUGGCGGCUGGCAACUCAGCUACCUCCCAGUCCCAGUGCCAGGACUUUGAGCUGGCCCACCCCAACAUCUGUCUCCUCUGUGAUCUGCUGGAGCGUGUGAAAGAGCUGGUGCUACAGAUCCAAAGCUGCAGGCUCUCCAUGACACAGGGCAACAACAGGAUAUCUGAGGGGAAUUUUGUGAGGAUCCAGUAUUGAUAGUGUAGCAGAAGCCGGAAGCCUCAAACCAGACCAAUGGCUCAUUGCAAUGAACAUCCGCAACUGUGGCUUUCUCAGUUGUAUUGAAGUUUCUGGACUCCCAUCAGUGGGAAAGGCAAAUUGGCUUCCAGGCUGAACAUCUUUCCGAUCUUCCCUCGACAUUUACAUUUUCUUGGUGUUUCUAUCCUACUCAGAAGUAUUUGCUUCCACAGAAGCCUGUGUAUGGAUGUUUAUAGUGGACACGUUCAUAAAGAUGUAGUGUUUGAGAGUGAUGGGACUUCCUCUGCCCUGGGUUUCUCUGUAUAGCACUGGCCGUCCCAGAACUAGCUUUGUAGACAAGACUGGCCUGGAACUCACAGAGAUCUGUCUGCCUCUGUCUCCUGAGUGCUGGGACUGAAGAUAUGCACCACCACCUCUAAGUUACAGGUCUGUUAUCAAAAUUAAAUGAGAUUGGGUUCUGAGACACUGGCUCAGAGAGAAAACAUUUAUUGACCUUCCACCGUGUAAGUCCCUGACAGUGAACUUUGCCCUGGUGCUAGAAAGAUAAAGGCUGAUGUUCCACCUUCAAGAAACCCACAAACGAAGGACUGGUGGUUUACGCAGAGGCUUCAACACUGAUAAGUGACACCAUGCAGGGAAAGCGUGGUUCUAAAUCUAAGGUCAAAGUCUUGGAACUAAGACGUCUAAAUUAAAAUACGAUUCUGACUGCAAGCUUCUACGUGAAAAUUUGGAAUUUAUAACAGGAACAAAGAUACAGAACAAAGUUUGCGUCUGGUGGAGUGAGGACAAAAAUAAUCAGCCUGAGAGUGAAUGGUGUUCACAGUGCAUUUAGGUGCCCAAGGAAACCCAUUGUUCAUUGUUGUGAGUCUUCUACUUUGGGGUAUAUUAUGAAGUCCUACUGGUAUUAUGAUCCUUGAUUCUGUUUUGACAGUUUUGUCUGUACUGCUUGAUUUUAUUUUCUUUAAGACAUUAUGUAGCUAUGUAAGAAUUCCUUUUGUCACGGGAGCUCCUUCUGAGAGACGGCUGGGUCCAACCUCGAACCUACUUACUGUGUAAGGUGGCUCUCACAGGAAUCUCUUGAGAGGUCAGCUCUGGCCUCAGCUUUCCUGGAAAUAAACGGCUUCUACAUUGUCCAUAAAUGUUCUCGGAGAUGACUCAAUGUAAAGUACGUUUUUAUUAUCUGUAAUGACGUGCAGGUGAGUGUGGGUACAGGUUCCCAAGCAGGCUAGAUACUGUGUCCCCAGGAGCUGGGGCUGCCUGAUGUAGGUGCUGGAAAGAGGUCCCCUGGAGCCUCGGCAAGUGCUCCUAACCAUUGAGACAUCUCUCCAG
Molecule: long non-coding RNA, 1743 nt
Organism: Meriones unguiculatus (Mongolian gerbil)
Lineage: Eukaryota; Metazoa; Chordata; Mammalia; Rodentia; Muridae
Exons: 5
Source: RefSeq, a predicted model, not a curated record